Gadus morhua (Atlantic cod) is the source of this 848-nucleotide long non-coding RNA. RefSeq lists it as uncharacterized. The transcript has 2 exons. Lineage: Eukaryota; Metazoa; Chordata; Actinopteri; Gadiformes; Gadidae. The record is from RefSeq and is a predicted model, not a curated record.
UCCCCUUGCGUCUGACGUCCCUUGUCUAUAUAAACUCCACCGGCCAACAAUAGUUUGUACCUACCUGUUCCUUAUUGUUGAACUUUGCGGAUAUAAAAGCGACUCCUCGCUCUCCAAACACAAAACUACACUACUACUACUUGACGGAUAAGCAAGCAGUGGCAAUGGCACACCCAGAACACACGGCUCAUGUUGUUGAUUGUGCGUACAAGCUACGUUAUUUCGGCGACCGUCUUCAAUGGAGAUACAAACUUCUGGAAAUGCUGUUACAUUACAAGAACAUCACCAAAUACUAAUGAUCGCAAUAGCAUGGACUUGUAAGGGUCAGAUUGUGAUGCAGUAUGCGGUUAUGAUAAUCGCUCAUUCUAAAAGAAGAGGGAGAAGAUGUGUGUGUGUUCCUCCUCAACUGGACACACCCCGCCCCCCACCCAAGCUGAUGGAAUUUGGAUUUCAUCAGCUUGUUUAGAUCCCCCUCUCACGACAGGCUAUGGCUGGGAAGUGGAAGGCUCGAACGCCGCAGGUGUGGGAUAGUUCAGACCCAUGAGAAGUUCCAGCAUGUGGAAAGGAGAAGAACAACGAAAAGAAGAAGCCAAGAAUGUUUGACGUCACACAAAUAUAUCUUCAAAGCAGACGAUAUUUUGGAGAUUUACCAAGAAUAUGUAUUCUUGGAAAUUGUAGAAAAAUUGCUUUUCAUCUAGGGAAACUAAGAGCACGCUGAUUGGUUGUCUACUCUACGCUUUAAGUUGCUAAUAAAUGUUUAAUCAAAAGCUUUUGGUAUUUUCACUUCUGCAAAAUAUUUUACGUUUUGAAUCACUGUUCUAAAGUAAAAUAAAUGUAGACCCUCAUCA